AGACGCUGUUAGACACAGCAGAAAGUGAUCAAAGAGGAUGACAGGGAAAGGUGGUAAUGGAUGCCCAGAAUAUCCCUCCACUCCAGCUUAAGCGAGGGGAAGGCAGUCGGGGCAUGGCUGCCUUUCAUGUUCAGAGUCGACUUUGACUCCAGUACAUCAGCCUCUGUUGAAUGCUGCCGUCACGUGUAUUGAGUCAGUCUCCAUGGCGCACCUACCAUAUUUGGCUGCUCUCUGCCGUCUGGCUGACAUACUUUGCUGAAGUAUAUAUCUGGGAGCUGCAUUAUUCCCACUAGCCAAGGAAUGGAAACAGUCUAAAUGCCCAUCAACACAUGACUGGAUAAAAACAUUGUGGGGCAACAUGCUUCACUUUAGACUGUGUCCAGAGACUUCACGUGUGGAAUGACAACCCUUCAGCUUCAUUACUCAGUCACCAGGUUCCAGAUGCCAUCAGGAUGCUGGCCAGGCUUCCCUGGACUGAAGACCCCAGCAAUGUGUCCUGGAGCUCUGCUUCCCCAGAGACACACCCUACUAGGGAAAGAGAGAGGCAGACUGGGAGUAUGGACUGACCAGUCAAUGCCCAUGUUCAGCGGGGAAGCAAUUACAGAAGCCAGACCUUCUACCUUCUGCAACCCACAAUGACCCUGGGUCCAUGUUCCCAGAGGGAUGGAGAAUGGGAA
Long non-coding RNA from Erinaceus europaeus (western European hedgehog), 677 nucleotides. RefSeq lists it as uncharacterized. Lineage: Eukaryota; Metazoa; Chordata; Mammalia; Eulipotyphla; Erinaceidae. The record is from RefSeq and is a predicted model, not a curated record. The transcript is spliced from 4 exons.